GGAAUACAUUUAAGUUCUAGGUCGCCCACCAGUAUAAUGCGGGAAUACAUUUUCAGUUCUAGGUCGCCUACCAGUACAAUGCGGGAAUACUUUUAGCUCUAGAGUUUAGAAUCAGUAGCCCCACCUGAAGACGGAAGGUUACAACAGAGAGCCCCAAGCAGGAAAAACAAUAAAAUCCCCAGCACCAAGAAGCAAGCAACUGCAAAGGCAAGCGCGCAAUUCAAAAGGAAAAAUGAACGCGUCUCAAAAGAAGUAGUUUGGGAACGUUGUAGCAUGCCCAGUAUAACAAUUCUGAUGGAAAGCCAUACCACUGAAGAAACCAUUGGAAGAUUUAAAGAAGAAAGCCGUGUCCCCAGCAAAUCAAGCAAAGUGAUGAGAACUGACAUUCAGAAAAGGUGAAGGACCAGCAUCAUCUCCAAGUUCACAAAAUAGAGGCAUCGGAGGAAGGCGAUAGCCGACAAGAAAGCAAGGCAACAAGAACAAGUCGAAGAUGGAUGAGAUUUCAGGAUCCUCAGUUUAGCUUAGCUUCUUGUUUUCCUUUUAGAGCAAUGUAACAGGGAGAU
RNAcentral lists this long non-coding RNA (563 nucleotides) under Nicotiana tabacum (common tobacco). Its description in RNAcentral is "long non-coding RNA (NTAB_LNC018731)". The record is from RNAcentral. Lineage: Eukaryota; Viridiplantae; Streptophyta; Magnoliopsida; Solanales; Solanaceae.